GUUCUUCAGCAGCCGCUCGGCGAUGUCCUUCUUUUCGGCCAGCCAGCUGUUUGCGGAUUUCAGCCCAAGGAGACUCACGCAGGAAGCCCUUGAGCUCCAACAUACGAGAAAGUGCCAACGCAAUGAGGCGGAAGAGAUGUCCUAGCCUCAGCAUCAAGCACAGUCCGCACUCCUCAUAAGCCAUCUCCAGCCCAUCCCUGGGAACUCUCUGCAGCUUCAGAUCCUACGCUGCUCCUCCCCACCACCCUCCAACAACCAACUGUGUCGUCUUGUUUUGGUAAAACAUAAAACUGAUAACU
Molecule: long non-coding RNA, 299 nt
Filed under: Homo sapiens (human)
Lineage: Eukaryota; Metazoa; Chordata; Mammalia; Primates; Hominidae
Description: HSALNT0234587
Source: RNAcentral